This 63-nucleotide transfer RNA is filed under the name Prochlorococcus marinus subsp. marinus str. CCMP1375. RNAcentral's name for it is "tRNA-Met". It matches the Rfam family "tRNA", at positions 1 to 60 of the family's 71-position model. Rfam says of the family: Transfer RNA (tRNA) molecules are approximately 80 nucleotides in length. Their secondary structure includes four short double-helical elements and three loops (D, anti-codon, and T loops). Further hydrogen bonds mediate the characteristic L-shaped molecular structure. tRNAs have two regions of fundamental functional importance: the anti-codon, which is responsible for specific mRNA codon recognition, and the 3' end, to which the tRNAs corresponding amino acid is attached (by aminoacyl-tRNA synthetases). tRNAs cope with the degeneracy of the genetic code in two manners: having more than one tRNA (with a specific anti-codon) for a particular amino acid; and 'wobble' base-pairing, i.e. permitting non-standard base-pairing at the 3rd anti-codon position. Lineage: Bacteria; Bacillati; Cyanobacteriota; Cyanophyceae; Synechococcales; Prochlorococcaceae. The record is from RNAcentral.
CGCGGGGUAGAGCAGUCUGGUAGCUCGUCGGGCUCAUAACCCGAAGGUCGGGAGUUCAAAUCU